Molecule: ribosomal RNA, 467 nt
Filed under: uncultured bacterium
Lineage: Bacteria
Description: partial 16S ribosomal RNA
Rfam family: Bacterial small subunit ribosomal RNA
Source: RNAcentral
GACGAACGCUGGCGGCGUGCUUAACACAUGCGAGUCGAACGGAAAGGCCCUGCUUUUGUGGGGUGCUCGAGUGGCGAACGGGUGAGUAACACGUGAGUAACCUGCCCUUGACUUUGGGAUAACUUCAGGAAACUGGGGCUAAUACCGGAUAGGAGCUCCUGCUGCAUGGUGGGGGUUGGAAAGUUUCGGCGGUUGGGGAUGGACUCGCGGCUUAUGAGCUUGUUGGUGGGGUAGUGGCUUACCAAGGCUUUGACGGGUAGCCGGCCUGAGAGGGUGACCGGCCACAUUGGGACUGAGAUACGGCCCAGACUCCUACGGGAGGCAGCAGGGGGGAAUAUUGCACAAUGGGCGGAAGCCUGAUGCAGCAACGCCGCGUGCGGGAUGACGGCCUUCGGGUUGUAAACCGCUUUCGCCUGUGACGAAGCGUGAGUGACGGUAAUGGGUAAAGAAGCACCGGCUAACUACGU